GGCCUAACACAUGCAAGUCGAGCGGCAGCGGGAAAGUAGCUUGCUACUUUUGCCGGCGAGCGGCGGACGGGUGAGUAAUGCCUGGGAAAUUGCCCAGUCGAGGGGGAUAACAGUUGGAAACGACUGCUAAUACCGCAUACGCCCUACGGGGGAAAGCAGGGGACCUUCGGGCCUUGCGCGAUUGGAUAUGCCCAGGUGGGAUUAGCUAGUUGGUGAGGUAAUGGCUCACCAAGGCGACGAUCCCUAGCUGGUCUGAGAGGAUGAUCAGCCACACUGGAACUGAGACACGGUCCAGACUCCUACGGGAGGCAGCAGUGGGGAAUAUUGCACAAUGGGGGAAACCCUGAUGCAGCCAUGCCGCGUGUGUGAAGAAGGCCUUCGGGUUGUAAAGCACUUUCAGCGAGGAGGAAAGGUCAGUAGCUAAUAUCUGCUGGCUGUGACGUUACUCGCAGAAGAAGCACCGGCUAACUCCGUGCCAGNNGCNNNGGUAAUAAAA
This 496-nucleotide ribosomal RNA is filed under the name uncultured bacterium. Its description in RNAcentral is "bacterial SSU rRNA". It matches the Rfam family "Bacterial small subunit ribosomal RNA", at positions 45 to 528 of the family's 1533-position model. The record is from RNAcentral.